GUGAAUCAUCGAAUUUUUGAACGCAAAUUGCACUCCCUGGUAUUCCGGGGAGUAUGCCUGUUUGAGGGUCGUUAGAAUAAAAAAUCGAUGCGUCGCUCUUUUUUUUAAGGGUGAUCGCGUCGGAAUUGAGCCGUCUUUCAAAUGUUAAUUCAUGUCAAAGUGGCUUGAAAUUCAUCCAUCCGGUACGAUUGAAGCGUAUUUAAGAUCAAUUUUGAUUGAGAACGCGCGAUGACGUCCCACCCCUUUAGGUAGUUUUGACUGGGGCAACCGG
RNAcentral lists this unclassified non-coding RNA (271 nucleotides) under Funneliformis mosseae. Its description in RNAcentral is "partial contains 5.8S ribosomal RNA and internal transcribed spacer 2". The stretch from base 1 to 71 matches the Rfam family "5.8S ribosomal RNA", at positions 84 to 154 of the family's 154-position model. The record is from RNAcentral. Lineage: Eukaryota; Fungi; Glomeromycota; Glomeromycetes; Glomerales; Glomeraceae.